RNAcentral lists this ribosomal RNA (742 nucleotides) under uncultured bacterium. Its description in RNAcentral is "bacterial SSU rRNA". It matches the Rfam family "Bacterial small subunit ribosomal RNA", at positions 46 to 791 of the family's 1533-position model. The record is from RNAcentral.
GCCUAACACAUGCAAGCCGAGCGGUAUUUGUCUUUCGGGACAGAGAGAGCGGCGUACGGGUGCGGAACACGUGUGCAACCUACCUUUAUCAGGGGGAUAGCCUUUCGAAAGGAAGAUUAAUACCCCAUAAUAUAUUGAUUGGCAUCAGUUAAUAUUGAAAACUCCGGUGGAUAGAGAUGGGCACGCGCAAGAUUAGAUAGUUGGUAGGGUAUCGGCCUACCAAGUCAGUGAUCUUUAGGGGGCCUGAGAGGGUGAUCCCCCACACUGGUACUGAGACACGGACCAGACUCCUACGGGAGGCAGCAGUGAGGAAUAUUGGACAAUGGGUGAGAGCCUGAUCCAGCCAUCCCGCGUGAAGGACGACGGCCCUAUGGGUUGUAAACUUCUUUUGUAUAGGGAUAAACCUUUCCACGCGUGGAAAGCUGAAGGUACUAUACGAAUAAGCACCGGCUAACUCCGUGCCAGCAGCCGCGGUAAUACGGAGGGUGCAAGCGUUAUCCGGAUUUAUUGGGUUUAAAGGGCCCGUAGGCGGAUCUGUAAGUCAGUGGUGAAAUCCCAUAGCUUAACUAUGAAACUGCCAUUGAUACUGCAGGUCUUGAGUAAAGUAGAAGUGGCUGGAAUAAGUAGUGUAGCGGUGAAAUGCAUAGAUAUUACUUAGAACACCAAUUGCGAAGGCAGGUCACUAUGUUUUAACUGACGCUGAUGGACGAAGCGUGGGGAGCGACAGGAUUAGAUACCUGGU